This is a non-coding RNA of Podarcis lilfordi (Lilford's wall lizard), 74 nucleotides long. The record is from the annotation of a GenBank genome assembly. Lineage: Eukaryota; Metazoa; Chordata; Lepidosauria; Squamata; Lacertidae.
ACCCAAUGUAGCUCAGCUGGUUAGAGUAUGGUGUGCUAAUGCCAAGGUUGUAGGUUCAAUCCCUGUAUAGGACA